GCAAAUAACUAUAAUUUUGAUUGUUUUCUUUCUUGAAGCAGAAUAUAUGGUGGUGGCUGUGCAAGGUUUGUUGAAUCAUGCUAAAUGUAACAUUUGUGGAUGUCUGGGUUGUAUUUAUCUUUUCAUUCGCAUCAGUUUUAUACAUUCCUGUUUUUCCACAACUGGAUAUACUUAAUAUGUGUUUUGGAUCUUGUAAUGCUUGUUAUUGCAUUAAUUCUCUUGAAG
This 225-nucleotide long non-coding RNA is filed under the name Olea europaea subsp. europaea. Lineage: Eukaryota; Viridiplantae; Streptophyta; Magnoliopsida; Lamiales; Oleaceae. The record is from RNAcentral.